GCAGGACCACAGUCGUGCAUUGAGACAUCUUUUUAUUCCGUGCCUUCCUACCUGUUCAGCAAGUGUUCUGGCUAGUCUGAAGGUUGGUCCAGUCAUUGAUACUUCACCAAAAUGAGACAGCCAGGUUUGUCUGCAAUCUGAGGGCAAAGCAGUGCUACAGCCACCCACUGGACAACACCAGCUCAUCACCCACCUCUUUAAAUGUGCUGCAAUCAAAGCUGCAGUUUAUGGGAAGUGUUCAAUGGGAAUACUGAAGACAAAAGUGCCUUAGUGAGGAAGAAAGCAAAAACCACCCAAAGGCCAGACUGAGGGGUGUCUGAGUAUUUACAACUCAUACACAUCUUGGGCAACAGAAAAAGCUGGGGUUGAGGUGGCAGGUGGACUUCAAAGUUAUUCCAAUGCCCUUUCCCUGAAUCAUUACAUGGGCAACAAUCUGGCUUCCCACAGAGCUAUCCUCCCUUGUGCCCUUGUCUGUAUAGGGCAGCCAACACCUCCUCUGUUGGAAAUGCAACAUGUUUGUAAAUGCUUUACCCACUGACAAAAUCACUUUUGUGUCUUGCUGCUAGUCAUCAGGACCAGCUCUGAACUCAGCAGUUCUUCUAAGACAUGUGUCUGUUCAUCUGCCUUCCUCGUUCCCAGCGAGCACCCAAAGGACACAUUAAAUAUAACCUCAGACUCUGGUACAGAAAUACAUCACGAAACAUGACCCUCAGGUUCAUGUAUCCAGGUUUUGGUAGCAGCAGAGGUGCAGGGGUGGCUUCUGUGAAGACAUCAGGAACUGUCCCUGUGGCAGACAGAACCAGUUCCAGCAGGAUGCAGAAAAGAUCUGCCACUGGUCAAAGCUGAGCCACAGCUCUCCAGAUGUGGCAUCACCAGUGUGGAGUAAAGGGGAAGGACCUUUAAACUUUGCUACCACUCCAAACAAAGUGGCUUCCUCAAAUACUGUAAGAAACGGAGCUAUUCCUGUCCACUAGCCCAUCAGACCAGCCCAUGAGGGAGAUGCCUGGUGACUGGAGGGAGGCAGAAGAACUGAAGCUAAAUACAAUGGUCUAACUGAAGAGACCUCAGUGCAUUUCAGUAGGCAUAGGCUUAGGCAGAAGGACUUCUCAACCCUGGGCUCAGAUCUGUAAUAAUUUCCUGACAAAGAAAUCACAGAAAUAUUUUAUAGGAAGUACCAUCAAGAAGUCAUCUAGUUCACUUCCUUACUAUCCAAGAUUUUUCCCGGAGCUCCUAUUUCCCCAGAGUCAGCUGGGUGUUCACAGCAUUUUGAGGUGAAGGUACGUUUUUUUUUUUGUUUGUUUUCAGUUGGUGCUAACUGGAGUAAUCGGAUCAGUGGUGAAUCGCCGGUUUCAUAAAUCUAGUGGGGAUAGGAUAUAGGGGAUAAUACAGACAGGAUUAUGUAAAAGAUUUGUAUCUUCAGCAAAUACUGAUUUCCACAGUGCCUGAUCCUUAACAGUAAGCUACUGUCUUCCAGCACCUGGCUGCCUUGCAAAGUAGUCAGUUUGAGUGCCUUGAUAUGCAAAAUACCACAGCUAAUCUAGUCAGACAAUCCUUGAUCAUUUUGUGACUUCUUAAAGUAAAUAAGUAUGUAAAAGAAUGUUCCUUAGUACACGACUGUUUUAAUAAUCUAAUGAAAGGCACUGCAGUUUGGAAGAGCCUGGUAAAUGCAGCAGUCUUCUAAAUAUUUUAUUCCUGUUUGCAUCCUAUUCCUAAAGCACUGAUUCCCGUGAUUCAUUACUGCUCUGUAUGGAUUGUCUCCCUGAACACUUCCUUUGCCAUUGAUCCCUGUUUCUAUUAAAACAAGGUCAUUCCAUUCCUUUCACUUUCUGCUGUUCUCUCUUCUGUUUAAUUCACCUCAUUAUUUUGAUACCAUCCUUAUCCUUCCUUACAAAGCAUGAGGUUCAUCUCCUCUUCCUUGACCUGCUCAUCCUCCUACACACAGCCCUAUUAAAUUUCCUCCCUCCAACAGAGCCUCCUCCCUCUGAAUCCUACACAAGCAUUAAUUCAGGGGGAGCUUUAUUGAAAAGAAAAUGAGAUAGCAAAAAAAUAUGUGUGACGGAUAAAAAUAGAAGGAAUUAGUAGUUAUAAUAGAAAGGUUUCAGGUGAGCCAAAAUUAAUACAGGAUCCAAAAUGUACAUAGGCUGGUUUAAAAAGAAGAAAAUGAAAUACAGCAUGAAUUUUCAGAGACACCCCAUGUCCCUUAUUUUCUUUCCUUUUUGUGUAGCCACCAGUUGCUACGCAGUCCCUGGGAAACAAUGACUUAGCCAAAAUCCUCCGGCUUGUCUAUUCUCUUCUAACUGUUUUUACUUCACUGUUGUGAUCCAGAGAAGUACUAAAAGCCAGAGGGAGAUUAUACAACUUUUGUGUUCAUUGCUCAUUACAGGACCAUCUCUAAUCUUUGUUGUUCAAACUAUACAAUAGAACUGAAAGACUGAAGUAAUACAUACCAACAGUGAGCUGUUCGUUAUUAUCAGUAUAAUACUGAUAAUAAUACAAGUUUUUCUUACUUGUUUCUUUCUGUGAUGUAGCACAGGCCUGUAACUGCAUUUACUCCGCAGAUCUUAAUCCAGCCUCUGUGAGAAGUAAUUUGUUGGGGAUUUCAAAACAUCCUCUGAGAUCAUACUAGAGUUUUAUGCAGAAAACCUCUCAUAAUCCCUCUCAAAACUCUAAUAUGGAGCUAUUUCUGGAUCUUAUGCGUCUUUUGGACCAGGCUUGGCUGGAGAGUUCGAACAGUACAUGGGAAACAACUGUGGUGCAAGCUGUGUGUAAUGAGGGAUGGGCACAGCUGCAGCCAGGCUGGGAGCAGCUGCUUCCACAGGCUCGCAGAAUCCUUUGGGUCCAGCAUAGCAAGGUAAGCACAGGUGCAAAGACACCUCCCUCCAGCACACUCUGCAAGUUUACAGAUGUCUGAUCUGAUGAAUAUGGCAUUUAAACUUCGCUUUCAGUGAAGAAACAUGAUUUGUAGUGUCUUCUGUUUGCUCAUGCCAUGCACCUUUGUUUUGCCCAAAAACAACGUAGGGUUUACUGCCAAAGCAGAAAACAGAGCAAAUGUGUCUUACAGCGCUGCCAGAAACUGGAUUCUUAAGAGGACUUUCACAAUUACAAUUAUAUCUUUUAGUACAAAUGAGAGAGUGGAAAAAAGGGUAACAAAUCAGGGUGCACACUCAAAAGGAAAAGUAAGGAGUGCUCAUUAAAAGUAGUGCACAAUGAGGUGUUUCAUAAAUUUAUUCAGAAUUUGCUGUGGUACAAGUUCAUGAGAUAUUUCCUGCUAUAGCUUGGGUAGUGUAAGGAAUUACACUGACAUUUUGAAGACCCUAAAGAGAUGAGCUAAAGCAGCUUCUUCAGCUCAGUACCUGCAUAAUUUCCUUAGAGAAUGGAAAUGCAUUUUCCAGUGCCACCUAGCUGGGACUCAUUAGGCAUUCAUUUAUUAAUUCUGUGCUUCUAAAAACACUGAUAGCAGCAAUUCACCAGUGCUGAAAAUGUGAUGCUGACAAAUGAAGAGAUAAACUGAUUACACUUCUAAACAAAAAUGAGGAAAAAUCACCAUAUGCAUUUUAAAAAAUACAUUAUAAAAAAGUAAAAUUCUACAUUAUAAAAAUGCACUGAAGUAUAUUUAAAAAAUAAAACAAUACCAUCUAACAUACUGAAAAAACCUUCACACUUGAUCAAAAGAAAACUUCCUCAAAGCUAAUCUGUGCUUUGGGAUGACGUUGCUCUCCUGAAGUAAACACUGAGAGGACCUCUCAUAUUUAAGGUCAACAGUAUUUAAAAACAGCUUUUUAAUUUGGGUUUUUAUUUCUAGCCAAGGAUUUUUAAAGAAGCUCUUAAUGACAGAAUAUUAGAAUCAUUUAGGUUGGGAAAAACCCUCUGAGAUCAUCGAGUCCAGCCCUAAACCCAGCACUGUGCAGUCCACCACUAAACCAUGUCCCCCAGUGCCACAUCUACAUGUCUUUUAAAUACCUCCAGGGAU
Molecule: long non-coding RNA, 3970 nt
Organism: Pipra filicauda (Wire-tailed manakin)
Lineage: Eukaryota; Metazoa; Chordata; Aves; Passeriformes; Pipridae
Exons: 4
Source: RefSeq, a predicted model, not a curated record